GAUGAACGCUGGCGGCGUGCCUAAUUCAUGCAAGUCGAGCGAACAGACGAGGAGCUUGCUCCUCUGACGUUAGCGGCGGACGGGUGAGUAACACGUGGAUAACCUACCUAUAAGACUGGGAUAACUUCGGGAAACCGGAGCUAAUACCGGAUAAUAUAUUGAACCGCAUGGUUCAAUAGUGAAAGACGGUUUUGCUGUCACUUAUAGAUGGAUCCGCGCCGCAUUAGCUAGUUGGUAAGGUAACGGCUUACCAAGGCAACGAUGCGUAGCCGACCUGAGAGGGUGAUCGGCCACACUGGAACUGAGACACGGUCCAGACUCCUACGGGAGGCAGCAGUAGGGAAUCUUCCGCAAUGGGCGAAAGCCUGACGGAGCAACGCCGCGUGAGUGAUGAAGGUCUUCGGAUCGUAAAACUCUGUUAUUAGGGAAGAACAAAUGUGUAAGUAACUAUGCACGUCUUGACGGUACCUAAUCAGAAAGCCACGGCUAACUACGU
This 496-nucleotide ribosomal RNA is filed under the name uncultured bacterium. RNAcentral describes it as "partial 16S ribosomal RNA". It matches the Rfam family "Bacterial small subunit ribosomal RNA", at positions 28 to 506 of the family's 1533-position model. The record is from RNAcentral.